RNAcentral lists this unclassified non-coding RNA (329 nucleotides) under soil metagenome. Its description in RNAcentral is "partial contains 5.8S ribosomal RNA, internal transcribed spacer 2, and large subunit ribosomal RNA". The stretch from base 1 to 120 matches the Rfam family "5.8S ribosomal RNA", at positions 35 to 154 of the family's 154-position model. The record is from RNAcentral.
GAUGAAGAACGCAGCGAAAUGCGAUAAGUAAUGUGAAUUGCAGAAUUCAGUGAAUCAUCGAAUCUUUGAACGCACAUUGCGCCCCCUGGUAUUCCGGGGGGCAUGCCUGUCCGAGCGUCAUUACAACCCUCAAGCUCAGCUUGGUAUUGGGCCCCGCCGACCCGGCGGGCCCUAAAGUCAGUGGCGGUGCCGUCCGGCUCCGAGCGUAGUAAUUCUUCUCGCUCUGGAGGUCCGGUCGUGUGCUCGCCAGCAACCCCCAAUUUCUUUCAGGUUGACCUCGGAUCAGGUAGGGAUACCCGCUGAACUUAAGCAUAUCAAUAAGCGGAGGA